This 506-nucleotide ribosomal RNA is filed under the name uncultured bacterium. RNAcentral describes it as "partial 16S ribosomal RNA". It matches the Rfam family "Bacterial small subunit ribosomal RNA", at positions 29 to 523 of the family's 1533-position model. The record is from RNAcentral.
AGUGAACGCUGGCGGUAGGCCUAACACAUGCAAGUCGAACGGCAGCACAGGAGAGCUUGCUCUCUGGGUGGCGAGUGGCGGACGGGUGAGGAAUACAUCGGAAUCUACUCUGUCGUGGGGGAUAACGUAGGGAAACUUACGCUAAUACCGCAUACGACCUACGGGUGAAAGCAGGGGACCUUCGGGCCUUGCGCGAUUGAAUGAGCCGAUGUCGGAUUAGCUAGUUGGCGGGGUAAAGGCCCACCAAGGCGACGAUCCGUAGCUGGUCUGGGAGGAUGAUCAGCCACACUGGAACUGAGACACGGUCCAGACUCCUACGGGAGGCAGCAGUGGGGAAUAUUGGACAAUGGGCGCAAGCCUGAUCCAGCCAUACCGCGUGGGUGAAGAAGGCCUUCGGGUUGUAAAGCCCUUUUGUUGGGAAAGAAAUCCAGCUGGCUAAUACCCGGUUGGGAUGACGGUACCCAAAGAAUAAGCACCGGCUAACUUCUUGCCAGCAGCCGCAGUAA